This is a long non-coding RNA of Zea mays, 2480 nucleotides long. RefSeq lists it as uncharacterized. Lineage: Eukaryota; Viridiplantae; Streptophyta; Magnoliopsida; Poales; Poaceae. The record is from RefSeq and is a predicted model, not a curated record. The transcript is spliced from 2 exons.
UAUACUUAAAGCACCAGUUUCAACGGUCGUCGUGCGUCAUUUAUUUACGAAAACCCCCUCAGAUUUUUUUUCAAUUAACCCGCACUCACGUUCGCGUCCGCCGACCCUCGCACACACCGCCUCCCGCACGCAUCGCAACCUCCACGCAACAAACGCCCCGCCCACUCCGCGUCUCCUCUAUCUCCCAACUCCUAAGCCGUCGCAUCCCUAGAGCUCCGCGUCCCAAGCCUCGCAUGCGCGCCAUUCGAGGUAACCAACCCCUUCUCUUCCGUUGUGCUGCAGGUGGAGUACGUGGCGCAGGAAGAGGCGGAGGAGAAGAAGGAAGCGCUCAACCCAAACUCGUGGUCGUCCACCAGCAAGUGCCACCACGUCUGAAUCUCCGAUUGCCCGCCGCCUUCGCCACGUGAUCUCCGAUUGCCCGCGCCGUGCUCGACGCCUCCAUCCUUGCUCUGUCGUGGGUGGUCGCACCCUGCUCGGCGCGCACGCGGGGUGGCCUUCACCCCACCUUCCUCCGAUUUGCACCGGCCGUGGCACUGCCACUGCACCAGCUCCGUUGUUGCCGUACACCAUCGACGACGGCGUGGUAUCUGCAGUGACCUCCAAGCCCGACCUCCCAAGGUAAUGACGGUGUCUCUCCCCACCUGUACCUUGUACGCGCAAUGAUUGGGUUGGUGGGAUGUAAUUGUUUUUGUGGAAGGUGGGAUUGGAUGCCUUUGUUAAAUCUAUAUCUAGAAACUGACCAUCGUAAUCAUUGUGGAGUUGGCAUGAAUAAGCAAGAUGCGAGCAUGAAGAACUAAAAGAGGCAGUAGCUAAGAUACUAUGGCAUAUGACAAGGAACUAUGCUGGUUGCAUCUCCCAAUGGUUGAACCAUGAAGAACAGGUAUAGAAAUCAGAAUCACAACCACAGCUGCUAAUUCUAUGUGCCAAGUGAACUAAAAAGCAGCUAGCACUCUAAACUCUAACCCAUGUAAGAAGACCAAUCAGGCUAGGUAGCAUUAAAGAAAAAUGGGAGAAAAUCUUUCUCUUUUUUUAGGAUAGGCUGAAGAAAAUCCAUAAACUUGAAAGCAGGGGAGAAAUAGUCAAGGGGAAAAAGAGAAAUAAGAAUGCUUAGGUACAUAGCUUUUGUUACCUCUAUGAUUCAGCAACCAGCACUUCCCAUACUUCAAAUUUUCAAAAUUUGUAACUAAAUACCUUAUCACAGGAAACAUGCUUAGCUGCUAAAGAUGUUAUGUCGUUUGAUCUACUUAAGAAGAGUCUAAUGUAUCUAUUGAACGCGAUGGGAGUUCGUAUCCGAAAAGUGUAUGAUGAGGUCAGAGGGUCGGCAAUUCUUAAUUCAAACUCAUUCAUAUUCUGAAAGUAAACUAAAAUGUUCUUGGUUUUAGGAAUGGUCCUACAUUUCUGUUGGAUGGUCCUUACCAAACACAGAUCAGAAAAAUCUUGCAUUUGGUGCUACAACAAGCAUGGUGCAUCCUGCAACCAGUACAGACGAAUCAUCAAGUUUUUACACACCAGUUUCCACCUAGCAUAUAUUGACAACUUUUCACAAAAUACAUAGGGUACUUAGUGGUCAGAUCUUUGUUUGGUGCUCCAAGAUGGCAAGAUAUGCUUCUGUGAUAUCUGACAUCGUAAGAAAUUGAGUUCCUGAAGAAUAUUUGCUUGGAAAUUCACAAAAUUACAUUCCAUCAAUGUUCGGUAAGCAUUAUUAUGGUAUUUAUUCAACUUGGUUGGUUCUACUGUCUAAAGGUUCAGACAAGUUAGCAAAACUUUAUGUGACCCACUAUUAUAUGAUGUUACAACAUGGAGAAUAUUGUCGCCUCAAGAAAGGAAACACCAACAAUCAUUCUUCCUUUUUUGAUUAGUGUUGGUAAUCCAAUUGAAUAAUGAGGCCAUACAAAGAUUUUUCGAAGCCUAGGGUGCCGUAUCGAUGAGUAUGGUAAGGUUAUUCUGAGCUUGUCAACCUCUUUCGACAUGUAUGGUAAGCUGAACUGUGCCAAUUUCUAGCUUGUAAAUACAACAAAAAGGAUAAGUUGACUGCAUGUUCAUGUGCUCAUGUGAAAUGGACUACUGGGUGCUGCUAAGGAUUGGGGUGACGGUCUAUCAUGGCAUGGUGGAAUAAGCAUGUAUUUUUGCAUGACGCUUUGGUGGAAGCCGCAAAGGAGGAGGAGGCUCAUUGAGGAGCAUAAUUUCAUAGGCUACCAAGAGCAAGAGGUGGAAGUGUCCAGCGCUAUAUCUGCUUCGGCGUCGAGCUGCUCCUGUGCGUGACCUGCAAGUGCGACGUCCACAAGGAGUUUAGCUUCAACCACCGUGUCAGAUCAGGUAGCUCAUGUCCAUCCUCAUCUUUGGGUUUCAGGUUUUGCCUUACAAUUCACUGUACAAGGUUAAUCGCACCGAAUUUUGAAUCACACGAUUAUGUAGGUCGCCUCUCCUUCCCUCCUUUUUGUUCUGUUCUUCAUUUUAAUGUUAUAUGUGUUGACUAAAUA